This 28-nucleotide small RNA is filed under the name Bombyx mori (domestic silkworm). RNAcentral's name for it is "ovarian small RNA-37936". Lineage: Eukaryota; Metazoa; Arthropoda; Insecta; Lepidoptera; Bombycidae. The record is from RNAcentral.
UUGCUGUGGGACUACUGUCAAUGACGUG